GUGCUCACUUUGACAGCACAUAUACUAUAAUUGGAACAAUACAGAGAAAAUUAGCAUGGCCCCUGCGCAAGGAUGACACGCAAAUUCAUGAAGCAUUCCAUAUUUUU
Molecule: small nuclear RNA, 107 nt
Filed under: Octodon degus (degu)
Lineage: Eukaryota; Metazoa; Chordata; Mammalia; Rodentia; Octodontidae
Source: RNAcentral